Macaca nemestrina (pig-tailed macaque) is the source of this 304-nucleotide unclassified non-coding RNA. Its record names the gene 7SK. It matches the Rfam family "7SK RNA". From Rfam's summary of the family: 7SK was discovered as an abundant small nuclear RNA in the mid-70s but a possible function has only recently been suggested. Two independent studies have found that 7SK RNA binds the CDK9/cyclin T complex (known as elongation factor P-TEFb). P-TEFb activates transcription by phosphorylating the C-terminal domain of RNA polymerase II. Lineage: Eukaryota; Metazoa; Chordata; Mammalia; Primates; Cercopithecidae. The record is from Ensembl.
GGAUGUGAGGGCGAUCUGGCUGUGACAUCUGUCACCACACUGAUCGCCAGAGUUGAUUCGGUCGAUCUGGCUGGCUAGGCGGGUUCCCCUUCCUCCCUCACUGCUCCAUGUGCGUCCCUCCCGAAGCUGCGUGCUGGGUUGAAGAGGAUGACUAUCCCCGAUAGAGGAGGACCUUCAGUCAAGGGUAUACGAGUAGCUGCACUCCUCUGCUAGAACCUCCAAACAAGUUCUCAAGGAAAUAAGCAGACUGCAAAUUAAGUUUAGGCGUACACCACAAGAAGUUAGAAAAAUAAUAGCAAAAUAU